Molecule: ribosomal RNA, 431 nt
Filed under: uncultured Pseudomonas sp.
Lineage: Bacteria; Pseudomonadati; Pseudomonadota; Gammaproteobacteria; Pseudomonadales; Pseudomonadaceae
Description: bacterial SSU rRNA
Rfam family: Bacterial small subunit ribosomal RNA
Source: RNAcentral
AAGCAACGCGAAGAACCUUACCAGGCCUGACAUGCAGAGAACUUUCCAGAGAUGGAUUGGUGCCUUCGGGAACGUCUGACACAGGUGCUGCAUGGCUGUAACGUCAGCUCGUGUCGUGAGAUGUUGGGUUAAGUCCCGUAACGAGCGCAACCCUUGUCCUUAGCUACCAGCACGUUAUGGUGGGCACUCUAAGGAGACUGCCGGUGACAAACCGGAGGAAGGUGGGGAUGACGUCAAGUCAUCAUGGCCCUUACGGCCUGGGCUACACACGUGCUACAAUGGUCGGUACAAAGGGUUGCCAAGCCGCGAGGUGGAGCUAAUCCCAUAAAACCGAUCGUAGUCCGGAUCGCAGUCUGCAACUCGACUGCGUGAAGUCGGAAUCGCUAGUAAUCGUGAAUCAGAAUGUCACGGUGAAUACGUUCCCGGGCCUU